GUGCCCAGAUGGCCCCCACCUGGCGUUGCCGGUGAACGGAACCCAGUGCUGGUUAUUUCUGGUUAGAGGCGCAUGGAGGCCCGCCCUGGGAUGGUGCCACCAGGUUACUUGCCCAGCGGUGAAGGAUGGCAGCUUUACAGCUCCCCGACGCAUCAGACUAAAGAACGUUAGCCAGGGUCUGCACCGGUGGUUCUCAAAGUGCUGUCCCCAGGUCUUCGGCGAGGACUAAAUGUUUCCACAAGAAUGUUGCUCACCCCUCCAUUACUACAUACUCUUCUGCUGAGCUCCAACCUGGCCUUUUAAUCAUUGGUGCUCAAGUGUGUCUUCCUUCUUAUACUAGAAUACUUCUUAGAAAUGAAAAAUUCAUUACAACAAAAUUUACAUUUACUACGCAGCUGUCUGCUAUGAUUUGUAAGUACAUAUAUCUUUUCUAUUGCUUAUGAAAUGAAAGUGUGGAGGUUUUUUUUUUUCUUUUUUUAGCUGUGUGUAUGUGUGUGUGUAUGCACAUGUGGUCCAUAAA
This 520-nucleotide long non-coding RNA is filed under the name Macaca mulatta (Rhesus monkey). RNAcentral describes it as "lncRNA (ENSMMUG00000054711.1)". Lineage: Eukaryota; Metazoa; Chordata; Mammalia; Primates; Cercopithecidae. The record is from RNAcentral.